UCUCCCUGCUCGCCUCCCGCGGCCAAGGAGCGCCCCAACCUCGCCAUGUCGCUCGUGUGGCUCCCAUGGUGCCGCCCCGCAUAGCUCCUUGCUGAGCGCUGCAGGUCAUGAUGCCCGCCGAUUUGAUCUGCACAGCCACUCAAUCCUCGGAACUCCCAAUCGACGGCAACUCGACCGGGGGCUGGGGUGACAAGACUUCGACAAUGCAGACGAGGAAGAUCACGUCGUGGACGAUUGCCUCAGCUAGGGUCCUUUGUUGUCAUGGCACCGUUGACCCUGUGCUGCGGGCCGGCGAGGUCGUUGAACUUGCUGAAGGCAUCACCAAGCUUCUAUCUCUAGAUCUGCACCAAUCCUUGUCAGAAAAUUGAGAAGUCAUGGCAUAGUCAAAUCUGAACAAGCCGUGUGGAGCUUCACGAUGAGUCUGCGCAUGAAUUUGGGAAUGGACGGAUGUCACUCCGAAGAAGUCAGAGAAUAUUUUCAAUGCGCAGCAGGACAAGAGAAAAGAAGAGAAGCAAAGAGAGGUGGGUUAUCGCUCCUACAUUGCUUACAUGAACAUCUUGAUUUUUUUAGAAAGAAGGCAUAGACCCGACAUUAAAUUAAUGACACCCUGAAAAAUAGAAAAGGCAAAAGAAACAUGAUACAAGGUACAUGGUGCUGUAGGACCAGCUUACAAGACAUGAAACAAACCAUGCAAUAUAAAAAUAUAACAGAGUGGAUUUUCUACUCCCAGAUGCACCUACACCAUCCAUGAACAGUAAAUUCAAAAGAAAAUGAAAAACAGAAUAAAAAAAUAUGAAAUUUUGAGACAUGAAAUUAGAUCAAAAGUUUUAGCAUCUUGCAAAUUUUUCACCACGAAAUAACAUUCAUGGUGAAAAAUGAGGCGUAAGUAGAUUCACUCAUUUUGCUUCGUAAGUAGUCCAUAUUGAAAUCUAUAUAAAGACUUCUAUUUAGGAACGGAGGGAGUACAAAAGAAACGCCUCUUGAUCGUCGAAGUCCUCCGCCACGAAGCGAAACACCAAUGAGGCAUGUGUGGCAAAGGAUUUCAAUUUUCCUGUUUACACAAAGGAAACUCGAGGAAGGUUCAGAUUUCUCAUGCUUGGUUCUGUGCUCUCAGGGUUACAUAGACAAAAAUGCCUCCUAUUUACACAAAGGCAACUCGAGGAAGGUGUUUCUCUCUACUUUGUGCUCCAGAUUUGUUUCCCUACAAUAUGGCGGAUUAAUGUAUAUUCUUCUGAAGUCAUAGUACAUUCAUGGUCUGUACAUAUGUUUGUAUGCUGCAAACCUGAGUCCGGUUUCAAAGUUUGGCCGCAGCUAGCUUGAUUUGGAGACAUUUCCUGUUAGGAGUUAAACUUUGGUUUGGAGGCAUCGAGCUUUGGCUGUAACUAGCUUUGUUACUUGGUAUACCUCUGUCAGCAUUCAGGAGCCGGGUAGUUGUUGAGCGGGUUGUGGGAGAGGCGGUCGGCGAGCGCGGGCUAGACGGGAAGGUGAUGCUUGCGAUGGCGACCAUGCCGGCGGGCAGGGCAAGGUCGAUUGUGUCCAUCAUGGUGUUUCCGAGGGAGAGCGAGGCAUCUGCCAUCGCGCAUCUGAAGAAGUCGAUGCUCGGAGCGAGGUUGACCACCGUGGCCGGCGUGAAAGCGGACGGACUUAAAGGCCGGUGACAGGUUUGCCGUCGUCGCACCGUCUCUCAACUUGGCGGAGAGGCGAAAGGAGAGCGGUGGCACCAUGAAGACCUCGACGCCUGCUGCUGUGACCACGACCAGGCCAUUGUGUUUGUAAUAAAGAUACUAAUUGUAUACAUAUCCCCCAGCUUCAAAAACAUUAGAUAAAUAUCCAACUUAUUAUUGAAAAAUCUUGAUUCAAGAUAAAUGGAACCUUUCCUAUAUACAAUGAGCUUAUUAUUUGAAGGUUGCAUUGAUUGUGCUAUUAUUGCUGAAAUAAGAGGCUUACGUGAAUUUGUCAA
Aegilops tauschii subsp. strangulata is the source of this 1960-nucleotide non-coding RNA. The record is from RefSeq and is a predicted model, not a curated record. NCBI's taxonomy places the organism in Eukaryota, Viridiplantae, Streptophyta, Magnoliopsida, Poales, Poaceae.